GAUGAACGCUGGCGGCGUGCCUAAUACAUGCAAGUCGAACGCAUAGCGAAAGGUGCUUGCACCUUUCAAGUGAGUGGCGAACGGGUGAGUAACACGUGGACAACCUGCCUCAAGGCUGGGGAUAACAUUUGGAAACAGAUGCUAAUACCGAAUAAAACUUAGUGUCGCAUGACACAAAGUUAAAAGGCGCUUCGGCGUCACCUAGAGAUGGAUCCGCGGUGCAUUAGUUAGUUGGUGGGGUAAAGGCCUACCAAGACAAUGAUGCAUAGCCGAGUUGAGAGACUGAUCGGCCACAUUGGGACUGAGACACGGCCCAAACUCCUACGGGAGGCUGCAGUAGGGAAUCUUCCACAAUGGGCGAAAGCCUGAUGGAGCAACGCCGCGUGUGUGAUGAAGGCUUUCGGGUCGUAAAGCAUUGUUGUAUGGGAAGAACAGCUAGAAUAGGAAAUGAUUUUAGUUUGACGGUACCAUACCAGAAAGGGACGGCUAAAUACGUG
Molecule: ribosomal RNA, 497 nt
Filed under: uncultured bacterium
Lineage: Bacteria
Description: partial 16S ribosomal RNA
Rfam family: Bacterial small subunit ribosomal RNA
Source: RNAcentral